GGAACCGGUAGGGGAUAGAGGUAUUUCAAGGGGAGCGGUAAAAUGCUAUAAUCCUUGGAGGACCACCGAUGGCGAAGGCAUCUAUCCAGGACGGAUUCGACGGUCAGGAACGAAGGCUAGGGGAGCAAAACGGAUUAGAUACCCGAGUAGUCCUAGCUGUAAACGCUGUGAGCUGAGUGUUGCAUUUUCUUCGUGGAUGUGCAGCGCUUAAGUGAAGAUGUUAAGCUCACCGCCUGGGAAGUAUAGUCGCAAGACCGAAACUUAAAGGAAUUGGCGGGGGCUCGCUACAAGGAGUGCGGCGUGCGGUUUAAUCUAACUAUACGCAGAAAAUCUUACCAGCAGCGACGGCAGAAUGAAGGUCAGAUUGAAGGUUUUACCUGACAAGCCGAGAGGUGGUGCAUGGCCGCCGUCAGUUCGUGCCGUAAGGUGUUACGUUAAGUCGUAAAACGAACGAGACCCAUGCUCAUAUUUGCUAGCAUCUUCUCCGGAAGGAAUGAGCACAAUAUGAGGACUGCCUUGGAAACAAGGAGGAAGGUGUGGGCAACGGUAGGUCUGUAUGCCCCGAAUCUGCUGGGCUACACGCGCGCAACAAUGGUAGGGACAAUGGGAUGCAACUCCGAGAGGAGAAGCUAAGCCUCUAAACCCUAUCCUAGUUCAGAUUGAGGGCUGUAACUCGCCCCCAUGACGAUGGAAUUCCUAGUAAUCGGAUUUCAACACGGUCCGGUGAACACGUCCCCGAGCCUUGUACACACUGCCCGUCAAGCCAACCGAGCAGGGUUUUGGUGAGGACUAAUUUUGAUUAGUCAAAUCAGAGUCAGAUGA
This 822-nucleotide ribosomal RNA is filed under the name uncultured euryarchaeote. RNAcentral describes it as "bacterial SSU rRNA". It matches the Rfam family "Archaeal small subunit ribosomal RNA", at positions 595 to 1421 of the family's 1478-position model. Lineage: Archaea; Methanobacteriati; Methanobacteriota. The record is from RNAcentral.